GUCAAAUUGGAUAUUUUGAAUUUCACAUGCCAAGCUCUGUGACUCUCUGUAUUGACUCUGUUUCUCUUUAUAUAAUAUAUAUCCUCUUUCUCUUCCAAAAACUUUUCAAUACGAGAGCUUUGAAGAACAAAAGAACACACUCAACGGAUCGUAUUCAUUAAUGGGGAAAAGGAGCUGUUUUUUCUCACUAUAUUUUGUGGGUAUUUCUCUAUCUUUAUGGGUGAUUCAAGUGGCAUUUGCAGGGAGAGAAGGGCCUCUAUUGCAGAGGUAUGAGAAAGGGAGUUUUGGGUAUAGUGAAUCGUUUAAUAGCAUUUUUGAUACUUCCAAGUACGGGAUUUUUCAGCUCAACAACGGC
Molecule: unclassified non-coding RNA, 355 nt
Filed under: Hevea brasiliensis (rubber tree)
Lineage: Eukaryota; Viridiplantae; Streptophyta; Magnoliopsida; Malpighiales; Euphorbiaceae
Source: RNAcentral